RNAcentral lists this long non-coding RNA (1570 nucleotides) under Oryza brachyantha (malo sina). RNAcentral describes it as "long non-coding RNA (OBRA_LNC000995)". Lineage: Eukaryota; Viridiplantae; Streptophyta; Magnoliopsida; Poales; Poaceae. The record is from RNAcentral.
UACAGUUAGAGUGGCAGAACUCACUCUCUAUUGAAAUACUCCACUCCUACAGAUGGACAAGAUAAUGACUCUACUACGCUAGCAGCAAGUACUACGCUGCAUGCAGACCUAGCUAGGAGCAAUUAAUCGAUUUGGAAUUUGGCUUCAUCAAUUAAGCAAUAAACAUCAUCAUUCACGGAAAUCCGUCGUAAGCAUUCUCAUUUUCACCGCCGGCAAAUCCUGAUUUAAAUCUGUAAUGUUGAUGGUUAAAGGAUGUAGCCCUGCAAAUUUUCACAUAGGAGCAAUUGAUUCAACCAAAUUACUACUAAUAAUUCGCCUCAAAAAAAUUACUCCUAAUAACAACUGUGCACUAAAACGAAGUAGUAGAUAAUUAAAGUGCAGGAAAAAGAUUACCAAGAUCCUGUUUAUUAAUAUUACUAGGUGCAGCAGUAGGGGGGGCUGGAGCUCGUUUUGGCUGCUGCUGGUCCUUUGCCUUUUCCUCCUCAUUGGCAGCAACAGCACUCUUGUUUCUAUCCAUUGCGUGCAGUGGCAACCAACUCCUCGAAUCUAAUUAAUUAAGUAUAAGAUGCAAAGAAGAGACAGAUUUAAUUAAUUAUACAUGCAUGUCGGAAUUAUUGCAUUAACUGAUCUCAAAAUUUCAAGAUUCAAUGCCCAUAUAAAAUAAUGAAUAUAUCGCUCUAAAUUAAUUAGAUACAUAUGAACUGAAUUGUUAGCUUGCUAAUUCCGUUACUGCUGGUGUAAGGUCCAGGGAAUUAGCUUCGUAUAUUGCUACUACUACUCUACUACCUACUACGUACGUAUGGAGGCAUAUAUAGUUUUGGGGUAUACAAGUUUGGAAUUACAGCAAGCAUACAACAAACCUGUGUGUAUAUGUGUGUAUGAUACACGCACACGCACACUCACUUGUUUUGGUUUUACUCUUCAAUAUACCUUAAUACCUUUACGAGAUUUAACCCAAUUAUUUAGGGUCUAUUCGUCUCAAAGAAAAAACAAAGAAUCCAAUUCCUAAGAAUUGAAUUCCUUUAAAAUUCAUUCGGAUCGUAGGAAUAAACCAUAGGAAAAUCAAAGGAAAAUAUUUCUUCCUAUAAGAUACAGAGAGAAAACAUAGUAAAAUUUCCCUCCACUCAAACCUCUUAGAAAAAUUCCUAUAAAUUAAUGUUGCCAUACGUCUAUAUUCCUCCACCUUUUCUAUUCCUUUAAGUUGAAAUUCCUCCAAACCGAAUAAACUCUUAUAAUAUAUAAAUCCAUGUGUUAAAAUACGUACACCCCAUACUAAUAUAAUAUAUUAUUGUAUAGAAGCUAGUACUACUCAAGAAAUGGUUGUGCUAGAAAGUAGCUAGCUAAGGAGAAAUCUAAGACUUAGUUAAAAUAAUUAACCAACUAUUAGAGAUAUUAUACCUACACAUAUGCUAAUUGAACAACAAGCAAACAAUAGACUGUCGUAAAUAUAUAUACCUAAUAGUACAAAGCUUCAAAAGAAGGGAUCCCCGAGGGUUUGGUGGGACGAAAAUGAAGAGAAGAGACUUGCCCUUAUAACUAGUAGUAGCUGUUAUUGCAUUCCCACAGUGGC